Molecule: long non-coding RNA, 627 nt
Filed under: Podarcis muralis (Common wall lizard)
Lineage: Eukaryota; Metazoa; Chordata; Lepidosauria; Squamata; Lacertidae
Description: lncRNA (ENSPMRG00000007213.1)
Source: RNAcentral
UGCUUCCCCUCCUCUGGCUUCUUACCACAUCCUGGAGCUUCCCUCUGCUUGCUUAAGCAGGGUCAAGGGACCACAACCUGUGCAAUACAUGCUUCUCAUCAUUUCUUGGGCAAUGAUGGCCUCACCUUCCUACAGCCAAUUAAAUCUGGGCAGGACUCCCCUGAGGAUGUGGCCUUAUAAAGCACCUGGCUACAGGCUAGAGAGCACUCUGCUCUGCCUCACCAUGAAGUCUGGUGGCCUCGUCUUCUUCCUCGUGGGGCUCUUCGCUCUAUGUGCCAUGAUGCCCUCUGCCUCAGCCCAAGGGAAGCCUGGGAAUUGCCCUAUCCGUGCUGCAGUAGUGAAGCCACCUUGCAUUAAGUGGUGUGAUACAGAUUAUGAUUGUCCUUCCAUCCAGAAAUGCUGCUCAAAAUUUUGCUCCAUGGUCUGCGAAAACCCAAUAAACUGACGACAGUGAUGCACAGCCUGAAAUCCCUGCAACUUCUACAGUUUUGGAGAGGUGAACUCAGAACCCAAGGAGUGAAGGCAACGAUAAAUCCAGCUCCCUCUUGACCCAAUGGGCCCGAUCCAGCUUCCUUCCCUGUCUGCAAUAAAAUGAUCCCUGUGCCUGCAUACCAGAGUGUCUUGUUC